AGUAUUUUGACUAUACAAAGGUAUUGAAAUAAGACUUUAAUUGAGUGCUAAGAGAAUGGAAUUUCAUAAAAUUUCUUUUUUAAUUUUAAAAAUUGAAAUUAAUUUUAUAUGUGAAGAAACAAUAAUAAAAAUUAAGGACAAGAAGACCCUAAGAAUUUUAAAAAUUUCAAUAAAAUGCAGCAUUUUAUUGAAAUUUUUUAAUUGGGGCGAUUAUUAAAUAUUAAAAACUUUAAUUUUUUAAAAAAGAACCAAUAAUAUUGGUUAUUUGAAAAAAUACUCUAGGGAUAACAGCGUAAUAAUUUUUGAUAGUUCUUAUAGACAAAAUAGUUUGCGACCUCGAUGUUGGAUUAGGAUUCUUUUUUAAUGAAGAAGUUAAAAAAAGAAGUUUGUUCAACUUUUAAAAUCCU
Molecule: ribosomal RNA, 407 nt
Filed under: Amblyomma maculatum (Gulf Coast tick)
Lineage: Eukaryota; Metazoa; Arthropoda; Arachnida; Ixodida; Ixodidae
Description: partial small subunit ribosomal RNA
Source: RNAcentral